Molecule: long non-coding RNA, 649 nt
Organism: Musca domestica (house fly)
Lineage: Eukaryota; Metazoa; Arthropoda; Insecta; Diptera; Muscidae
Exons: 4
Source: RefSeq, a predicted model, not a curated record
AAAUUAUUGUAUUUUUAAUUGAAAACAACACACAAAAUGUGUAUAUGUUUUGGCAGAAUAGGGGCACCAAAAGAAAAACAUUGUAUUUGGGCGGUAGCUUUGUUCCACAUUCUGUAAUUGUGCCAUGGUAGGUAUUAUGAUGUGGAACUGGCGUAUUUCUGUAAUACGUACGUUCAAAACAUUUUACUAUAAUGGGGAAGUUCAAAAUUUGUGUACGCUACGUCUAAUUUUAGGUAAUGCUGUAACAAGGUGUUCAAGUAAAAAUUGUAAAAAUAGUACUAUAUUGAACAAUGUACGGGAGCACAACAUACUCAACACACCAAAAAUAUAUUAGCCGGCAAUACAGCUAGAGAAAAAUAUAAAAAUAGUUUGUCAUAAUACUUGUGUAACAAUGCUUGAGAAACACUUGGAAAAUCACGCGAAUUUAUUAACCAUUUCCGAACCGAAUUUUAAGACUGAAUGCAUCAAAAAGUUGCAGGAAUUCAAUAGAAGUGUCAUAUUUGUGGAGGAGAUGCGGAAGCUCAAAUAAGGGAAACGAAAGCGUUUGGGUAUCAAGGCCACAGAAGGCAGUAACAGCUGGGAUGGUCAUCAAUGAAAUGAAAUGUGUAAAAUGAUUAGAAAAUUAAAAAAUAAAUAUUAUAUACUAUUA